CCAGACUCCUACGGGAAGCAGCAGUGGGGAAUCUUCCGCAAUGGACGAAAGUCUGACGGAGCAACGCCGCGUGAGUGAUGACGGCCUUCGGGUUGUAAAGCUCUGUUAAUCGGGACGAAAGGCCUUCUUGCGAAUAGUGAGAAGGAUUGACGGUACCGGAAUAGAAAGCCACGGCUAACUACGUGCCAGCAGCCGCGGUAAUACGUAGGUGGCAAGCGUUGUCCGGAAUUAUUGGGCGUAAAGCGCGCGUAGGCGGAUAGGUCAGUCUGUCUUAAAAGUUCGGGGCUUAACCCCGUGAUGGGAUGGAAACUGCCAAUCUAGAGUAUCGGAGAGGAAAGUGGAAUUCCUAGUGUAGCGGUGAAAUGCGUAGAUAUUAGGAAGAACACCAGUGGCGAAGGCGACUUUCUGGACGAAAACUGACGCUGAGGCGCGAAAGCCAGGGGAGCGAACGGGAUUAGAUACCCCGGUAGUCCUGGCCGUAAACGAUGGGUACUAGGUGUAGGAGGUAUCGACCCCUUCUGUGCCGGAGUUAACGCAAUAAGUACCCCGCCUGGGGAGUACGAUCGCAAGGUUGAAACUCAAAGGAAUUGACGGGGGCCCCGCACAAG
RNAcentral lists this ribosomal RNA (608 nucleotides) under uncultured bacterium. RNAcentral's name for it is "bacterial SSU rRNA". It matches the Rfam family "Bacterial small subunit ribosomal RNA", at positions 331 to 929 of the family's 1533-position model. The record is from RNAcentral.